GUCCAGACUCCUACGGGAGGCAGCAGUGAGGAAUAUUGGUCAAUGGGCGGGAGGCUGAACCAGCCAAGUCGCGUGAGGGAAUAAGGCCCUAUGGGUCGUAAACCUCUUUUGUCAGGGAGCAAAGGCGUCCACGAGUGGACGAAAGGAGAGUACCUGAAGAAAAAGCACCGGCUAACUACGUGCCAGCAGCCGCGGUAAUACGUAGGGUGCGAGCGUUAAUCGGAAUUACUGGGCGUAAAGGGUGUGCAGGCGGCUGAGUAAGACAGAUGUGAAAUCCCCGGGCUUAACCUGGGAACCGCAUAUGUGACUGCUUGGCUAGAGUGCGUCAGAGGGAGGUGGAAUUCCACGUGUAGCAGUGAAAUGCGUAGAUAUGUGGAAGAACACCGAUGGCGAAGGCAGCCUCCUGGGACGCAACUGACGCUCAUACACGAAAGCGUGGGGAGCAAACAGGAUUAGAUACCCUGGUAGC
Molecule: ribosomal RNA, 469 nt
Filed under: uncultured bacterium
Lineage: Bacteria
Description: bacterial SSU rRNA
Rfam family: Bacterial small subunit ribosomal RNA
Source: RNAcentral